Molecule: RNA transcript, 3855 nt
Organism: Daphnia magna
Lineage: Eukaryota; Metazoa; Arthropoda; Branchiopoda; Diplostraca; Daphniidae
Gene name: protein lin-10
Exons: 4
Source: RefSeq, a predicted model, not a curated record
AUUUAUACGGGGAUUGAGUCGAACCGAGACGGCCAAAGUGGUUGCAGCUGUCUGGCAUUGACGGUCGUCUUGGUCGUCGAUGUUGAUAGAUGGUUGUUUGCUACAACAUUUUGCUCGUUGCGAAGAGACGAGAAUCCGAUUCUCUUUUUUUACGUGUCACUCUCCUUCUCGUUAAGUGUGCAGGGUUUCUGUUUGUUUUCAUUCUCUCCUCGAGCCACUCUGGAUAACUUGUGAUUUGAACUGUUGAGCGCGUCAGUGUGCGAUCGUUGUCUCAACUGUGCAACCGACAAUUAACCAACAAUAAACAAGGAAGCAAAGAGAGCCCAAGAGAGCGGCCGCAAACUGGGCGAAUUGGCGUGCCAUGUGCCACUUGGAUCGACCAUGGCCGCCGACCAUCACAUCCAGCAGCAUCAAGCCCAUCAGCAUCACUCGUCGCAACAGCCAACAACGCCAUCGACAACGACAAUAACACGCGAAGACAGUUUGGAGCGCCUGUUCCCUCGUUGUCGUCUGCGAUCGCCGCCCGUCGACACGGCCGUCCUCAUCGAUUUGAGCGAUGACAACGUGGUCCAAACGAGCGCUGCCCUUCCUUUGCAUUCGUUCGGCCGACCGACGCCCAUGACUCAUGCGGAUGGCGGUCAGUCUGACAGCGACGCGUCGCCGAUCCGUCGGCCGCCUUCGCUCAAAUUGAACAUCGCAGCCGGACAGCCACAGCAGCAGCAGCUGUUGCAACAGCGCCGUUAUUGCCCGUCGGUCAAGUACAGGACGGAGAGUGCGGAAUUGCGGCGAUCGAAAUUCCUGCGCCGGCCGCGCACCUUGGAUCACAACACGUGGAGCCUCUACGGCGACGUCUACGCCGGAGGCUACGAGCCCAGCUCGGACUCGGAGGACAACGACGGCGAUCAUUUCGGUUUCCCGUCCGGCGGUAAAUCUGGCAACGUGGCACCGGCCCCUUCGUCGUCGAGCUCGUCGUCCAGCUUGAGGAAGUCGAAUCCGUCGGCGUCUGCGGCUGUGCGGACCAGCGCCUCCGAGUCGCACAUCGUCGGCCAUUGGAAGAAAGGAGGUCACAAUGGCCACCACGCCGAGGCGGCCGGCCAUCAGCGGCAUCCGCGUCGUCGCGGCGUCAAAGAAAUUUACGACUUGACACCUACGCUGUCUGCCGGAUCGGCUUCCGGUGGCGGUGGCGGUGCAAGUGGCUCGAGCGUCCAGCUCGACCCCACGCGAAUGGAAAUCGCCGGCGGCCGAGAGAUUGUGUCGCUUUCGAGAAGCCGGACGCGAGGAUCGCAGCGGAAACAGCACCGGGUUCAAUCGAUGGUCGAUCCGGCGCCCGUGGAUAGCCCUCCUAACAACAACAACAACAGCAACAAUAACAACAACAAUAGUACGCCGUCGUCGAGCAGCAACCGGAGCAUGAACCGCUACAGCGGCGAGGUUUAUUACGAGGAGAGCGUGGGCCGUUACGGCUUCCACGUCGGCGGAGGCAACACGCUGUGGGGUAGUCAAGGGCUGGAGCCGAGCUUCAGCAUUGCCAGCCAUUUGAAUGAGAAACAAUAUCCUUCCUCCGGCAACGCUGCAGCCGCCGGAAUGGCUGACGGCACUGCGGCCAAGUCGGAGCAGACGUGCGCCCAGCACCACGGCCUCAAACGGCCGCUCUCUUGGGCCGGAGAUGAUCCGGUGACGGAUCGUCAAAUGGCGGAACAGCAUCCGCAACGAGAAGCUCGAGAGCUGGCCAGCGCGUCGAGUCCGGAUCGCCAAGGGCAGUCGUCUGAUGGCGAGGCGAAGCCUUCGGCCACGCUGCCCAACGGCCCGUCGACCGCAAUCGAAGAUGCGGCCGGUACUCAAAUGCAGGCCGUUCACGGCUACUUGACUGAUUUCUAUCCGGAAGUGGUGGCGGCCGAGCUGAACAGCGCCGAUCCAUCAUCGCCGAGCCCUUUGAAUCUUGACAACUACCUGUCGGAACAGUUGAACCAGUUUGCCCAGCAAAAAUCCAUCAGGCGGGAGGCCAGCGAAGCGGAAGAAGCGUCGCAGCUGCUGCUAUCGCAAUCGCCACCCGCUCAGCAGCAGCUGACUGUCGCCACUGUCAUUGGCGGAUUGACUAUCGCCCAGUAUGAAGGAUCACCUCGUCGCUAUGGCGUGCGAGCUCAUCCGGCGGCGAUGCCCGUUGCGCCCGUCAAUGCCAACGGACAGGAUGAAUAUUCGGAUGAAUGCGGCAGAGCCGCAAACGGACCGAUCGCGGGCUUGCCUCAGGCGCGACCUUUAGUUCCAGGAUUUCCCAGGCGAAUCACGAGCAGUCCCAAUCCGGCCCAUCCGCAGGCGACGUUCAGCCCGUCGGCUACCAGGCAGACGUUGGUGGAUUUGGCCGCCGGGCCGGCGGCCACGUCCACGCCCGUCGCUGCUACGCCGGAAGCUUUGUCAGCCAAUCAUCUGUCGUGGCACCUGGAAGACGUCGACGACAGGAGCAUCCGCUCAUCCGGCGGGCAGGAUCAGCACGCGGACGCCAUUUCCCUCAACGCGGAGACGGACCUGGGCGAAACGGAGGUCGGACUGCAGAUGGGCAAGAGCCGCAAUUUCACGCUGUCCCCCGAAACGACCGAUUACGACGAUUCCGAGCUGGACAUUUACAACGGCGCCGAACUGUCCGUCUGUCCGGACAUUCCCGCCCUGAACGGAACCCAAACGUCCGCAUCGUGUCACGUGGAAUCGUUCGACGGCGUGGCUGUAGGCGCCGAAACGGCGGGCCGUCGGCGGAACAGCAGCAAAAGCCAGAACGGACUGAAAGGCCAGUUCAGUAGCAUGCCCAUCUUGGAGGACGGCCUGUCGUCGGGCCGCAGCAGCGCCGCCAGCGGCCAUGAAGACAUCAGCGUCGCUAGUAGCGCCAGCAUCACCAGCGCUAGCGACACGGAAGAGGACGCCGUAACGGAUCGCAUCCCGCUCAUGUCGGAUCGCCGGAUGAAACAGUUGUCUGCCCAGCAGCAACAUGCAUUGCAUCCGGCCAAUAAUGGAUGCCGUAAUCUGGCGGGUGCCAGCCCGCUCCAAUCAUCGAUCACGGGCCUUUCUGGUGCUCGUUCCACCAAGAAUUCUUGCUCGUCUUCGUCUUCUUCGACCACGGCGGCGGCUGCUGGUCAUCAACAACAACAACAACCGCAAGCGAUGUGGUCGAAGAAGUUGUCGUCUGCUCUCUCGGAUUGCGACCAUCACAAUCAUCAAGAGGCCGGCAUAAUCCAGGGUUCGUUUCGAGCACGGAAUGCCACGCCUCCUCCGCCGGCCCCGAUCGCUCAUCGGCCGCCGAGUUCGACUACUCAACAACACGCUGUGCAGACGGCCGCCUCUACAUCGCCGACGGUGAGCAACGGUGUCAAAUCGUUUGCGGCCGCAUCGGCGGUUGGCUCCGUUGGAGCGCAACAGAACCGCGCCAACAAUCACGCCAGUCCGUUGAGGCUCAGUCCAGGCCCGGAUACGCCUUCCAUCACGUCCGGUGGCGCUGGCGGAAGCAGUAGUAGCAGCAGUAGCAGUAGUAGCGGUAGCAGUUGUAGUAGUAGCGGUGUCGGUUCGUCUGCCGGCAAAAUGCAGAACGUUGGCGGCCAACAACAGCCGAAAGGGUGGGCCCUUCGGGCGAUUUGAGUUUGCACGAACUCGGCGACGCGCUCGAUCACGGACGCAUGAGGAAAGCCAGUUCGGUGCCGCCUCCAGCUGCCGUUGCCGCAAUACAGUCACCCCUCUCUCGUUCGCCGCCCGUCUGGGUGCCCAGGCAGAGCAGCGAUUAUUGGGCCAAGAAUUCGCCCACAUCGACGUCACCCAGGUCUCGAUGCAAAGUGGGCGGAUCUGGCAUGCAUCCGGACGGCAGUAAACUCAAUG